AGAACGAACGCUGGCGGCAUGCCUAAUACAUGCAAGUCGAACGAAGGCUUCGGCCUUAGUGGCGCACGGGUGCGUAACGCGUGGGAAUCUGCCCCUUGGUUCGGAAUAACAGUUGGAAACGACUGCUAAUACCGGAUGAUGACGAAAGUCCAAAGAUUUAUCGCCAAGGGAUGAGCCCGCGUAGGAUUAGCUAGUUGGUGAGGUAAAGGCUCACCAAGGCGACGAUCCUUAGCUGGUCUGAGAGGAUGAUCAGCCACACUGGGACUGAGACACGGCCCAGACUCCUACGGGAGGCAGCAGUAGGGAAUAUUGGACAAUGGGCGAAAGCCUGAUCCAGCAAUGCCGCGUGAGUGAUGAAGGCCUUAGGUUGUAAAGCUCUUUUACCGAGAUGAUAAUGACAGUAUCGGGAGAAUAAGCCCCGGACUAACUCCCGUGCCCAAGCAAGCCGCGGU
This 452-nucleotide ribosomal RNA is filed under the name uncultured soil bacterium. Its description in RNAcentral is "bacterial SSU rRNA". It matches the Rfam family "Bacterial small subunit ribosomal RNA", at positions 26 to 521 of the family's 1533-position model. The record is from RNAcentral.